UACGGAGGAUGCGAGCGUUAUCCGGAUUUAUUGGGUUUAAAGGGUGCGUAGGCGGGUUGUUAAGUCAGCGGUAAAAUUGCGGUGCUCAACGCCGUAGAGCCGUUGAAACUGGCGGCCUUGAGUGGGCGAGAAGUAUGCGGAAUGCGUGGUGUAGCGGUGAAAUGCAUAGAUAUCACGCAGAACCCCGAUUGCGAAGGCAGCAUACCGGCGCCCUACUGACGCUGAGGCACGAAAGUGCGG
Molecule: ribosomal RNA, 240 nt
Filed under: uncultured bacterium
Lineage: Bacteria
Description: partial 16S ribosomal RNA
Rfam family: Bacterial small subunit ribosomal RNA
Source: RNAcentral